Molecule: non-coding RNA, 135 nt
Organism: Triticum aestivum (bread wheat)
Lineage: Eukaryota; Viridiplantae; Streptophyta; Magnoliopsida; Poales; Poaceae
Source: Rfam
AUAGUACUCCCUCCGUCCCAAAAUUCUUGUCUUAGAUUUGUCUAAAUACGGAUGUAUCUAGUUAUGUUUUAGUGUUAGAUACAUCUAUAUCUAGAAAAAUCUAAGAUAAGAAUUUUGGGACGGAGGGAGUGGAUC